This 394-nucleotide ribosomal RNA is filed under the name uncultured bacterium. Its description in RNAcentral is "partial 16S ribosomal RNA". It matches the Rfam family "Bacterial small subunit ribosomal RNA", at positions 523 to 918 of the family's 1533-position model. The record is from RNAcentral.
AUACGUAGGGGGCAAGCGUUAUCCGGAAUUAUUGGGCGUAAAGAGUGCGUAGGUGGUUACCUAAGCAGGGGGUGAAACGCACUGGCUUAACCAAUGUCAGCCCCCUGAACUGGGCUACUUGAGCGCAGGAGAGGUAAGUGGAAUUCCUAGUGUAGCGGUGAAAUGCGUAGAUAUUAGGAGGAACACCAGUGGCGAAGGCGACUUUCUGGACUGUUACUGACACUGAGGCACGAAAGUGUGGGGAGCAAACAGGAUUAGAUACCCUGGUAGUCCACACCGUAAACGAUGAGCACUAGGUGUCGGGGGAGCAAUUUCUCGGUGCCGCAGUUAACGCAUUAAGUGCUCCGCCUGGGGAGUACGUACGCAAGUAUGAAACUCAAAUGAAUUGACGGGG